Molecule: ribosomal RNA, 484 nt
Filed under: uncultured bacterium
Lineage: Bacteria
Description: partial 16S ribosomal RNA
Rfam family: Bacterial small subunit ribosomal RNA
Source: RNAcentral
AUUGAACGCUGGCGGCAGGCCUAACACAUGCAAGUCGAGCGGAUGAAGGGAGCUUGCUCCUGGAUUCAGCGGCGGACGGGUGAGUAAUGCCUAGGAAUCUGCCUGGUAGUGGGGGAUAACGUCCGGAAACGGGCGCUAAUACCGCAUACGUCCUGAGGGAGGAAGUGGGGGAUCUUCGGACCUCACGCUAUCAGAUGAGCCUAGGUCGGAUUAGCUAGUUGGUGGGGUAAAGGCCUACCAAGGCGACGAUCCGUAACUGGUCUGAGAGGAUGAUCAGUCACACUGGAACUGAGACACGGUCCAGACUCCUACGGGAGGCAGCAGUGGGGAAUAUUGGACAAUGGGCGAAAGCCUGAUCCAGCCAUGCCGCGUGUGUGAAGAAGGUCUUCGGAUUGUAAAGCACUUUAAGUUGGGGGGAAGGGCAGUAAGUUAAUACCUUGCUGUUUUGACGUUACCAACAGAAUAAGCACCGGCUAACUUCGUG